Molecule: ribosomal RNA, 493 nt
Filed under: uncultured bacterium
Lineage: Bacteria
Description: partial 16S ribosomal RNA
Rfam family: Bacterial small subunit ribosomal RNA
Source: RNAcentral
GAUGAACGCUGGCGGCGUGCCUAAUACAUGCAAGUCGAGCGAACAGACGAGGAGCUUGCUCCUCUGACGUUAGCGGCGGACGGGUGAGUAACACGUGGAUAACCUACCUAUAAGACUGGGAUAACUUCGGGAAACCGGAGCUAAUACCGGACAAUAUAUUGAACCGCAUGGUUCAAUAGUGAAAGACGGUUUUGCUGUCACUUAUAGAUGGAUCCGCGCCGCAUUAGUAGGUUGGUAAGGUAACGGCUUACCAAGGCAACGAUGCGUAGCCGACCGGAGAGGGUGGGCAGCCAGGCUGGGAGUAAGACACGGUAAACCUCCGCUGGGAGGCAGCAGGGACGAAUACUCGAGGAUGGAGGGGAGCAUAACGGAACACCGCCGAGAGAGUGAUGAAGGUCUGCGGAUCGUAAAACGCAGUUAUUAGGGAAGAAAAGAUGUGUAAGCAGCUAUGAACGUGACGGCAGUACCAGAACAAGAACCGGCUAAUAACGUG